GAUGAACGCUGGCGGCGUGCCUAAUACAUGCAAGUCGAACGGAAGGUAGCAAUACCUUUAGUGGCGAACGGGUGAGUAACGCGUUGGUGACCUGCCCCGAAGCGUGGGAUAACAGUCCGAAAGGAUUGCUAAUACCGCAUGUGGUCCAAGAGAUUAGAGGCUUAUGGACUAAAGGAGACAUUCACUUCGGGAGGGGCCUGCGUCCCAUCAGCUAGUUGGUAAGGUAAUGGCUUACCAAGGCGAUGACGGGUAGGGGACCUGAGAGGGUGGCCCCCCACAAUGGAACUGAAACACGGUCCAUACACCUACGGGUGGCAGCAGUAGGGAAUAUUAGUAAUGGGCGAAAGCCUGAACUAGCAACGCCGCGUGUGCGAAGAAGGCCUUCGGGUCGUAAAGCACUUUUUGAGAGGAUGAGGAAGGACGGUACUCUCAGAAUAAGUCUCGGCUAACUACGUG
RNAcentral lists this ribosomal RNA (456 nucleotides) under uncultured bacterium. RNAcentral's name for it is "bacterial SSU rRNA". It matches the Rfam family "Bacterial small subunit ribosomal RNA", at positions 28 to 507 of the family's 1533-position model. The record is from RNAcentral.